AACGAACGCUGGCGGCGUGCCUAACACAUGCAAGUCGAGCGAGAAAGCUCCUUCGGGAGUGAGUAAAGCGGCGCACGGGUGAGUAACACGUAGGUAACCUACCCUCGAGCCUGGGAUAACCUACCGAAAGGUGGGCUAAUACCGGAUAUGACCACGGGAGCCACGGCUCCUGCGGUGAAAGAUGGCCUAAGCUUGCAAGCUAUCACUUGAGGAUGGGCCUGCGCACCAUAGCUAGUUGGCGGGGGUAAUGGCCCACCAAGGCUAUGAUGGUUAGCUGGUCUGAGAGGAUGGCCAGCCACACUGGGACUGAAACACGGCCCAGACUCCUACGGGAGGCAGCAGUGGGGGAUAUUGCGCAAUGGGCGAAAGCCUGACGCAGCGACGCCGCGUGGGUGA
RNAcentral lists this ribosomal RNA (396 nucleotides) under uncultured bacterium. Its description in RNAcentral is "bacterial SSU rRNA". It matches the Rfam family "Bacterial small subunit ribosomal RNA", at positions 29 to 408 of the family's 1533-position model. The record is from RNAcentral.